Molecule: unclassified non-coding RNA, 249 nt
Filed under: uncultured fungus
Lineage: Eukaryota; Fungi
Description: sequence contains ITS1, 5.8S rRNA gene
Rfam family: 5.8S ribosomal RNA (bases 201-249)
Source: RNAcentral
UUUCCGUAGGUGAACCUGCGGAAGGAUCAUUACAAUUUUGGCACACCAAGAUGCCCUCGGGCGUUGCGGUGUUGUCAAUCGAGAUACCAACCCAUGUCUUUUGAGCACCUCACGUUUCCUCGGCAGGCUCGCCUGCCAACGGGGACCUAUACAACCCUUUGCAGUAGUAUAACAAACGUCUGAUACACUUUAAUUAUCACAACUUUCAACAAUGGAUCUCUUGGUUCUGGCAUCGAUGAAGAACGCAGC